Molecule: ribosomal RNA, 729 nt
Filed under: uncultured bacterium
Lineage: Bacteria
Description: bacterial SSU rRNA
Rfam family: Bacterial small subunit ribosomal RNA
Source: RNAcentral
UAACGCGUAUGCAACCUGUCCGUUACAGGGGAAUAGCCCAUGGAAACGUGGAUUAAUGCUCCAUAAUAUAAUAUAGAGGCAUCUUUAUGUUAUUAAAUAUUUAUAGGUAACGGUUGGGCAUGCGUCCUAUUAGAUAGUUGGGGGGGUAACGGCCCACCAAGUCGAUGAUAGGUAGGGGUUCUGAGAGGAAGGUCCCCCACACUGGUACUGAGACACGGACCAGACUCCUACGGGAGGCAGCAGUGAGGAAUAUUGGUCAAUGGGCGAGAGCCUGAACCAGCCAAGUCGCGUGAGGGAUGACUGCCCUAUGGGUUGUAAACCUCUUUUGUAUGGGGGGAAUAAGCUUUACGAGUAGAGUGAUGACAGUACCAUACGAAUAAGCAUCGGCUAACUCCGUGCCAGCAGCCGCGGUAAUACGGAGGAUGCGAGCGUUAUCCGGAUUUAUUGGGUUUAAAGGGUGCGUAGGCGGCAUUAUAAGUUAGUGGUAAAAUAUUGGGGCUUCACCUCACUACGCCAUUAAUACUGUAGAGCUAGAGAACAGACGAGGUAGGCGGAAUAAGUUAAGUAGCGGUGAAAUGCAUAGAUAUAACUUAGAACACCGAUAGCGAAGGCAGCUUACCAGACUGAGUCUGACGCUGAUGCACGAGAGCAUGGGUAGCGAACAGGAUUAGAUACCCUGGUAGUCCAUGCCGUAAACGAUGCUCACUGGCCUUAGGCGAUAUACGGUCU